This 490-nucleotide ribosomal RNA is filed under the name uncultured bacterium. Its description in RNAcentral is "partial 16S ribosomal RNA". It matches the Rfam family "Bacterial small subunit ribosomal RNA", at positions 30 to 507 of the family's 1533-position model. The record is from RNAcentral.
AUUGAACGCUGGCGGCAGGCCUAACACAUGCAAGUCGAACGGUAACAGGAAGCAGCUUGCUGCUUUGCUGACGAGUGGCGGACGGGCGAGUAAUGUCUGGGAAACUGCCCGAUGGAGGGGGAUAACUACUGGAAACGGUAGCUAAUACCGCAUAACGUCGCAAGACCAAAGAGGGGGACCUUAGGGCCUCUUGCCAUCGGAUGUGCCCAGAUGGGAUUAGCUAGUAGGUGGGGUAACGGCUCACCUAGGCGACGAUCCCUAGCUGGUCUGAGAGGAUGACCAGCCACACUGGAACUGAGACACGGUCCAGACUCCUACGGGAGGCAGCAGUGGGGAAUAUUGCACAAUGGGCGCAAGCCUGAUGCAGCCAUGCCGCGUGUAUGAAGAAGGCCUUCGGGUUGUAAAGUACUUUCAGCGGGGAGGAAGGGAGUAAAGUUAAUACCUUGGCUCAUUGACGUUACCCGCAGAAGAAGCACCGGCUAACUCCGUG